This 315-nucleotide long non-coding RNA is filed under the name Gallus gallus (chicken). RNAcentral describes it as "lncRNA (ENSGALG00010009782.1)". Lineage: Eukaryota; Metazoa; Chordata; Aves; Galliformes; Phasianidae. The record is from RNAcentral.
UGGGGGUGCCCUAUAGGGUGCCCUAAGGGGGCUCUGGGGGGGUGGGAGUGCCCUAUGGGGUGCCCUAUGGGGGCUCUGGGGGGUGGGGGUGCUCUAUGGGGUGCCCUAUGGGGGCUCUGGGGGGUGGGGGUGCCCUAUGGGGUGUCGUAUGGGGGCUCUGUGGGGUGGGGUGCCCUAUAGGGUGCCCUAUGGGGGCUCUGGGGGGUGGGGGUGCUCUAUGGGGUGCCCUAUGGGGUGCCUUAUGGGGGCUCUGGGGGGUGGGGGUGCUCUAUGGGGCGCCCUAUGGGGGCUCUGUGGGGUGGGGGUGUGCUAUGG